UGGAACGUAGCUCAGAGGUAGAGCAAUGGCUUGUGUCCUAAGUGAAGGUUCGAGUCCUUCCGUUCCGA
This 68-nucleotide transfer RNA is filed under the name Caudoviricetes sp. RNAcentral's name for it is "tRNA-Thr". It matches the Rfam family "tRNA". From Rfam's summary of the family: Transfer RNA (tRNA) molecules are approximately 80 nucleotides in length. Their secondary structure includes four short double-helical elements and three loops (D, anti-codon, and T loops). Further hydrogen bonds mediate the characteristic L-shaped molecular structure. tRNAs have two regions of fundamental functional importance: the anti-codon, which is responsible for specific mRNA codon recognition, and the 3' end, to which the tRNAs corresponding amino acid is attached (by aminoacyl-tRNA synthetases). tRNAs cope with the degeneracy of the genetic code in two manners: having more than one tRNA (with a specific anti-codon) for a particular amino acid; and 'wobble' base-pairing, i.e. permitting non-standard base-pairing at the 3rd anti-codon position. Lineage: Duplodnaviria; Heunggongvirae; Uroviricota; Caudoviricetes. The record is from RNAcentral.